CAGUCCGAGUGUUUGGAAUGAAUGAAGAAAAAAAGCUGAACUUCUUUUGAACAAGGAAUUUAUUUGCAUGCAAGGAGGAGCCGCUGACUUUAAUAACUGACAUAGUGCCAGUGCCUUUUUGAAGCAUGUCUGCUGAAGUGGGCAGGAAGUCCAGAAAUGUUCUUUUGAAACCAGUCUAUUUUCGUCACCACCUGUUCAUAAUGGCUGGAGAAUGAAGCGUCACAAUGACUACAAAAGAGACAUAUAUUGUACUGCAUCUGGGAUUGUAGAUGAAAAUGCAUUGAAUGCAAUGUUAACUGACAGCUCUCAUUGCAAAAGCAGUUGAUACAAGAUGGAUGGUUGGACAGAAAUGCAAAUUUUUGUCUGAAUAAAACAGAGUGCUUUUAUUAA
Hyla sarda is the source of this 390-nucleotide long non-coding RNA. RefSeq lists it as uncharacterized. The transcript is spliced from 3 exons. Lineage: Eukaryota; Metazoa; Chordata; Amphibia; Anura; Hylidae. The record is from RefSeq and is a predicted model, not a curated record.